Juglans microcarpa x Juglans regia is the source of this 1282-nucleotide long non-coding RNA. RefSeq lists it as uncharacterized. NCBI's taxonomy places the organism in Eukaryota, Viridiplantae, Streptophyta, Magnoliopsida, Fagales, Juglandaceae. The record is from RefSeq and is a predicted model, not a curated record. The transcript is spliced from 2 exons.
GUAGUAGUACUAGCUACACUUUCUGCAUAACAGCCAUAAAAACAUCAUGACGAAGAAAUUAAGAGAUAUUGACAACGACAAAUCAUAUGGAUCUCCAAAUAAAUCUAACAUCAGAUCUAACACAAAAAGUAGACUCCCGGCUUUCUUGCCACCAAGAACGGUCAACCUCCAAACGACAACCGAAUAUGCACAUAAUUCCGACCACCACAGUCUGAUGAUCCAUCUUUACUUGUGACGACAGAUCCAACACUACAACAAACAUAUAUACGGCCGGACUUGAUCUAGCCAGGACAGUCGCUAACCACACACAGUCCACAAAAACCCCACAUCCAUAAAUUAAUUAAGCACAAAUUAAGCACAACGCCAACACCUAGCCUGCACAUACCCGCCGCAGAAACCCUACCAGAUCUGCCAGCUCGCCGAACUCCGCCCCCCACCCCAGCGGAACCACAGAUCUUCCACAAAAGAAAAUCUUCGUCAGAUUCGACAGGCUAGGAGAAAGGUUAAUCUUUUCUGUAGUAUCGAUUUUGUCUAAAACUAUUGCAAAAUUAUAUACAGUAGCGGUUUUUAGGGAAAUAGUUUUUGAAGUUUCUGUAGGAACAUAUGGUCUAAAUUUUAAUUUCUACAUGGUGUCUUUUUUUUUAAAUCACUGUUAAAGCUGCAUUUCAAUGGCGGUAGCUAGUUUUUGUUUGAAACUGUCGCUAAAUAUAUUUUUAGCUGCGGUUUCGUGUGAAAGGUAGGGAGAAAAUUCUUCGCUUCUCACCCUCGCCGAUCGACGCUCCCCUCGUCUCUCUCUCUCUCUCUCUCUCUCUCUCUCUCUCUCUCUCAUUAAUAUGCGCUCACCAGAUUCAGUAUAUAUUAUGCUCCUAAUUAAUAUUCAGUAUUCACCAAAGUCCCCAAGGAGGCACAUGGGCAGAUCCAAUUCAUCCUCGCCAAGACCAAAGAGCAUAAGCUAGCUAAGCUUCAGUUUGGUUGCUUCGUGAAACCUGGGACAACAUUUAUAGACGAUUGGCGUAUUCUCCUUCGACCACAUCGAUGACUGUUGGAUUUCCCAGGCGAAGAUGGGGACGUUUAGGUCAGGUUAGGCAACGGGGACCGCAAUACGUUUCCUUCUUGAGCCUUUUCCCAUGUCAAGAUUUCAGAAGAAUAUUGAUCAAUGACUGCAUCUAGGUUUCAUCAUGAUUUCGGUUUUGCAUUAAGGGCAUGAUUAUUUUUGGUUAAAUGGGUUUUUGAAAGAUCGGAUUUGCAGCAAUAUAUAUAUAUAUAUAUAUAUAUAUAUAUA